This 494-nucleotide ribosomal RNA is filed under the name Sticta subcaperata. RNAcentral's name for it is "partial large subunit ribosomal RNA". The record is from RNAcentral. Lineage: Eukaryota; Fungi; Ascomycota; Lecanoromycetes; Peltigerales; Lobariaceae.
GUAACGGCGAGUGAAGCGGCAACAGCUCAAAUUUGAAAUCUGGCCUCYUCGGGGUCCGAGUUGUAAUUUGUAGAGGGUGUUUCGGGCGCGAUGCCGGUCUAAGUUCCUUGGAACAGGACGUCGUAGAGGGUGAGAAUCCCGUAUGCGACCGGCGAUCAAGCCUGUGUGAAGCCCCUUCGACGAGUCGAGUUGUUUGGGAAUGCAGCUCAAAAUGGGUGGUAAAUUUCAUCUAAAGCUAAAUACUGGCCAGAGACCGAUAGCGGACAAGUAGAGUGAUCGAAAGAUGAAAAGCACUUUGGAAAGAGAGUCAAACAGUACGUGAAAUUGUUGAAAGGGAAGCGCUUGCAAUCAGACCGGUCCGGAGGUGAUCAGCCGCUGCUYGUCAGCGGUGCACUCGCCUGCGAUCCGGCCAGCAUCGGUUCGGGCGGUGGGAUAAAAGUCCCGGGAAUGUAGCUUCCUUUCGGGGAGUCUUAUAGCCCGGGUCGCAAUGCCGC